This is an RNA transcript of Trachemys scripta elegans, 2373 nucleotides long. It is a transcript of the gene named beta-1,3-N-acetylgalactosaminyltransferase 1 (globoside blood group), with no coding region annotated. Lineage: Eukaryota; Metazoa; Chordata; Testudines; Emydidae. The transcript is spliced from 8 exons. The record is from RefSeq and is a predicted model, not a curated record.
GCCUAGCCUCCCAGAAGGGGGCGGGGCGUUUAUCCACAGCCCAUGCGCGGGGGUGCGGCCCGCGAGCGGCCUGAAGGCGGGGUACAGGCAUAAUGAAGAUUGCCCAGUGCUGCUUCACGUCCUUCCAGAGUGCAGAGAGCAGCUAAACUUAAACCUCUAAAAAACAGGAAGUACAAAAUUAAGGGAAGAAGAGGAGAUGGAGUCAUCCUCCAUCACAUCAUUACCAAAAGCAGCAGCAGAUCACUCCCAUGCUAGGCCAUGAAAACUGUCUUCCCCUCCCCAUCUGUCACUGGUGGUGAGAGUAAACUGGAAUUAACAUCACAAUGCAACAUACUUUGACAACAUCUCCAGGGCACCAUCAGAAGAGAAAUGUUCACAGAAACUUUUCCUGUAUAGUAGAUGAAUAAGAGGAUGAAGGAAUGCUACAAACAGCAGCAAUAUAGUUGACAGCAAGAAGCUGGCUCCCAAAUGUUGUGACCCAGGAUUUUGUAAGUCUCUUGAAGUUCUGCUGCACACAUCUAUCUUGUAGCUGCUUCUGAUUAGAUAAACAAGGAUGCGAAGCAUUGAAGAGUGCAGUUGUGAGGUUUUCCCUCAUUUGGAAGGAUGUAUGAAGGCAAUGGAACAUUGAAAACACUUGCAGCAAGACCAAAAUCUCACUCUAAGUUGAUAGGGUUUGUGAUCAUGUGACAAAGGGAUAGCAUUUCCAUCCUUAUCACACAGGACUCCCCGUGAAUCACCAACAUUGGCCACUGUAAGUUCUUUAUCGGACAGCAAUGCAAUCAAACAGGUUGUACCUGAAAAAGAAGGGGGAGAAAGAGGCAGGACAAUGAAAUAAACAUCACCACUAGUUACACUGCAGUUUCCUCCGUUGUUAUCUGUACUCAGCAGCCACAGGGAACAGCAGCAACGCAUGUAUCUGACUGAAACAUCUAGUACUUUGAUGACAAUCUAUUGAAUGGCAUUGAUCAAAUGUGACAGUCCAUUUUGUCUAACAAUAUUUUUAGUCUAUCAGAUUUUAACUCUGAUGUGCUGGGGGAAUGACCCUGUAAUCCCAGCCUAGCAUCUCUCAUCUGUUUUGUCAUUUAGACAGUAUUAAAAUGACUCUAUAUCAUAAACCUGCUUGGAAACAGAAACUUCUUCCAGGAUACAGCUUGUAUCUCUCUCUCAUGGGAUGAUGGGUAAAAUCGCUGUUAAAAAAAUAAGGGGUCUGUUGCUCAGAUUUGAUAAAAUUCACAGAGAGAAGUUGGGAUAGGGGGAAAUCAGUUCCCAGUCUAGGCCUGAUAGCUCUCUUCUCUUGCUGGUCAAGGAAAGUAAUAGAGAAAAGUUCUCUCGGCACAACAGCCUAGUAACAGCCUUACUGAAUGGCAGCUACUACUAUAAAAAAAACGCAUUAAUAAAAUAAAUCUGGUCUAAGUAUAACCUUCUGUGUGCCUUUACAGAAAGAACAGCUGUCAAAAUUGGGAGCUUAUGUACAUCUGGCCAUGCCAACCCUCAGCAUUAGAUGUAAAUAGGUUGUACAUCCUCUGCAGGGAGCUAUCAGGGUAUAAGGUAUAAUUUAAGAUAGUGUCAAGGGCGAACUUGAGGAUAUGUUGCACUGUAUAUUCGAUGACAAGACAAGAGCAAAGUGGCUAAGGUCACUGUUAGCAAAUAAGAGAUUUGAAGGAUAUAGUAUGUUGGUUGUUGUAUCAAAUAAAUAAGGAUACCCAGGUAUUGUGGCUCAUUUGUCCAUUUAGUAGAAAUGAAAAUGAAAAAAGGCCAAUUUUAAUCAAGCUACUAUUUCAUGUUUUCCAUUUUUCCAGUUUGGAAUCUGAUUAACUUGAUUUUAUGUAUAAAGUUUUAUAUACACAUUGUAUCUUGUAUUAGUUUGGGGAAGGCAAAAGCCAAAUAUAAAGUCAAAUUGAAAUCAUUGUGUGACCUGGAGGUCCAGAUGAGUUAUCUAUAUGAAAAUCUGAAGUUUUGUAACAAAAGGUAACUUCAAAAUUGUCAUUACAUUAAUGCUUAUUGCUUAUGGAUUACACUUGCACGUGGACAAGAUGGUGUAAAUGCUCCAAAACACUUAAGAGUCACAGAAAUAAAACAAGAAUUUGAGUUUAUAAAAAGAGCCUGCAAAAUAAAUAAAAAUGAACAACAGUUUGCAGUCAUGAACCCCACAACCUAGCUGUGAGCUAGAUAAAUAUUAUAAUCCAUUUUUGAACUGUUGCACUUCCAGUUUGGUUUGCACUAUUUAUUUAAAGGUUUGCUUUUUGUUACUUAGUCAGAUUGUUUUGGUAAAUGUAUUUUCAAACAAAAAGCAAUUGUUAGUUAUCCAUCAGUUCAAUUCAAACCUUAUUUCUGGGCUUUGUUACUGUUUCAUAAUAAAAACUGUUUAUAAUU